Molecule: ribosomal RNA, 555 nt
Filed under: Triticum aestivum (bread wheat)
Lineage: Eukaryota; Viridiplantae; Streptophyta; Magnoliopsida; Poales; Poaceae
Description: partial small subunit ribosomal RNA
Source: RNAcentral
AUGCCGGCGACCGCCUGCGGCGCCUGCGCGGCUGCCUUUCCCUCCUCCGCCCACGGUCAUGGCCCUCCGCCGCCUUCCGGGAGCAUACGGAAGCUCGUCUCGCCCACCCCCAGGCGGCUAGGGCACCGGCUGGCCGCUCCCAUGGCCUCCACCGUCGACUCGCCCGGCAGCUCCUCCGACUUCGCCAAGCGCAUGGACCGCGCCUGGCUCAUCUCCAAGCCGCUUGCAGAAAUGCAGGGAAAGGCUGCGUACAAAAGACCCAAAGCGGUCGGACCCUUCUCUGGACCCUGCGCAAGCUGGAGCUACAUGCACCGGGCUGUCCUAACGCAACCAAGUCCGACUUCUUGUUCAUCUUGUCAAUCCACUGGCGAUGUGGAGUGCAGGUGGUGUGCAGGCACGGGCUUCUUUAUCCUUGGCAACAAUAUGUUGUGUGAAGUACCCUCGAAAAAUACAAGAUGUGUGAUUUGCUCUGGAAAGGGCUUUUCACGUUGUGCUGAUUGCAAAGGAACUGGGUUUCGCGCCAAGUGGCUUGAAGAGCCCCCUGUUGACAAAUGA